This 466-nucleotide ribosomal RNA is filed under the name uncultured bacterium. Its description in RNAcentral is "partial 16S ribosomal RNA". It matches the Rfam family "Bacterial small subunit ribosomal RNA", at positions 28 to 507 of the family's 1533-position model. The record is from RNAcentral.
GACGAACGCUGGCGGCGUGCUUAACACAUGCAAGUCGAACGGAAAGGCCCUGCUUGCAGGGUACUCGAGUGGCGAACGGGUGAGUAACACGUGGGUGAUCUGCCCUGCACUUCGGGAUAAGCUUGGGAAACUGGGUCUAAUACCGGAUAGGACCGCACUUUAGUGUGUGUGGUGGAAAGUUUUUUCGGUGUAGGAUGAGCUCGCGGCCUAUCAGCUUGUUGGUGGGGUAAUGGCCUACCAAGGCGGCGACGGGUAGCCGGCCUGAGAGGGUGUACGGCCACAUUGGGACUGUGAUACAGCCCAGACUCCUACGGGGGGCAGCAGUGGGGAAUAUUGCACAAUGGGCGCAAGCCUGAUGCAGCGACGCCGCGUGGGGGAUGAAGGCCUUCGGGUUGUAAACUCCUUUCGCUAGGGACGAAGCUUUGUUGUGACGGUACCUAGAUAAGAAGCACCGGCUAACUACGUG